Pecten maximus is the source of this 491-nucleotide long non-coding RNA. RefSeq lists it as uncharacterized. The transcript has 2 exons. The record is from RefSeq and is a predicted model, not a curated record. NCBI's taxonomy places the organism in Eukaryota, Metazoa, Mollusca, Bivalvia, Pectinida, Pectinidae.
GGAUACAACGUCACCACAUCUGGCUACAACGUCACCACAUCUGGCUAGCAACGUCACCACAUCUGGCUGCAACGUCACCACAUCUGGCACACCCUCUCGGAUGUUAUGUUCACCAAAUGGUCCUGGUCUUCCUCAUUGGCCAAGAUACGACCAGGUAGCUGGGCUCUACCAACGGUUUGACAGCAAUAUAUCACCACAAUAUCACGUGACACUUGACAGGGUCCAGUUCUGGAACCAAUACCUCCCAUCAUUAGCGAAGAAUACUCCAAGUACAGUCGUCGGAUAAAAACAUUCUAACAGUCAUCCUGAUUAUAUUUGUGAUGUUGACAUCAACCAGAUUAUUACAUCGUCGUUAUAUAUACCGUGAUUAUCAUAGACUUCUGUUGAAAAAAACAUUUUAAGAUGAUGAAAUGAUGUACUAUUUAAUUUAAACAUCCAGGUUUGAUUUCCCUUCAGUGUUUAGAAAAAAAGUAUUAAACAUUCAAUUCCUU